Molecule: ribosomal RNA, 405 nt
Filed under: uncultured prokaryote
Description: bacterial SSU rRNA
Rfam family: Bacterial small subunit ribosomal RNA
Source: RNAcentral
UGGGGAAUAUUGGGCAAUGGGGGAAACCCUGACCCAGCAACGCCGCGUGAGGGAAGAAGGUCUUCGGAUUGUAAACCUUUGUCCUUGGGGACGAAAAAAAUGACGGUACCCAAGGAGGAAGCCCCGGCUAACUACGUGCCAGCAGCCGCGGUAAUACGUAGGGGGCGAGCGUUGUCCGGAAUUACUGGGCGUAAAGGGAGCGUAGGCGGUUUAUUAAGUUAGAUGUGAAAUACCCGUGCUUAACAUGGGGGGUGCAUCUAAUACUGGUAGACUUGAGUGCAGGAGAGGAAAGUGGAAUUCCUAGUGUAGCGGUGAAAUGCGUAGAUAUUAGGAGGAACACCAGUGGCGAAGGCGACUUUCUGGACUGUAACUGACGCUGAGGCUCGAAAGCGUGGGGAGCAAACA